CGGAACGGGUGAGUAAUGCGUGACCAACCUGCCCCAUGCUCCAGAAUAGCUCUUGGAAACGGGUGGUAAUGCUGGAUGCUCCAACUUGACGCAUGUCUUGUUGGGAAAGUGUUUAGUGGCAUGGGAUGGGGUCGCGUCCUAUCAGCUUGUAGGCGGGGUAAUGGCCCACCUAGGCUUCGACGGGUAGCCGGCCUGAGAGGGCGGACGGCCACAUUGGGACUGAGAUACGGCCCAGACUCCUACGGGAGGCAGCAGA
RNAcentral lists this ribosomal RNA (256 nucleotides) under uncultured Gardnerella sp. RNAcentral's name for it is "partial 16S ribosomal RNA". It matches the Rfam family "Bacterial small subunit ribosomal RNA", at positions 98 to 354 of the family's 1533-position model. The record is from RNAcentral. Lineage: Bacteria; Bacillati; Actinomycetota; Actinomycetes; Bifidobacteriales; Bifidobacteriaceae.